UACGUAGGGGGCAAGCGUUGUCCGGAAUCACUGGGCGUAAAGCGCACGUAGGCGGACUCUUAAGUCGGUGGUGAAAUCCUGGAGCUCAACUCCAGAAUUGCCUUCGAUACUGGGAGUCUUGAGUCCGGGAGAGGUGAGUGGAACUGCGAGUGUAGAGGUGAAAUUCGUAGAUAUUCGCAAGAACACCAGUGGCGAAGGCGGCUCACUGGCCCGGUACUGACGCUGAGGUGCGAAAGCGUGGGGAGCAAACAGG
RNAcentral lists this ribosomal RNA (253 nucleotides) under uncultured bacterium. Its description in RNAcentral is "partial 16S ribosomal RNA". It matches the Rfam family "Bacterial small subunit ribosomal RNA", at positions 524 to 776 of the family's 1533-position model. The record is from RNAcentral.